RNAcentral lists this ribosomal RNA (592 nucleotides) under uncultured bacterium. Its description in RNAcentral is "bacterial SSU rRNA". It matches the Rfam family "Bacterial small subunit ribosomal RNA", at positions 334 to 917 of the family's 1533-position model. The record is from RNAcentral.
UACUCCUACGGGAGGCAGCAGUGGGGAAUAUUGGACAAUGGGCGCAAGCCUGAUCCAGCCAUACCGCGUGGGUGAAGAAGGCCUUCGGGUUGUAAAGCCCUUUUGUUGGGAAAGAAAUCCAGCUGGUUAAUACCCGGUUGGGAUGACGGUACCCAAAGAAUAAGCACCGGCCAACUUCGUGCCAGCAGCCGCGGUAAUACGAAGGGUGCAAGCGUUACUCGGAAUUACUGGGCGUAAAGCGUGCGUAGGUGGUCGUUUAAGUCCGUUGUGAAGGCCCUGGGCUCAACCUGGGAACUGCAGUGGAUACUGGACGACUAGAGUGUGGUAGAGGGUAGCGGAAUUCCUGGUGUAGCAGUGAAAUGCGUAGAGAUCAGGAGGAACAUCCAUGGCGAAGGCAGCUACCUGGACCAACACUGACACUGAGGCACGAAAGCGUGGGGAGCAAACAGGAUUAGAUACCCUGGUAGUCCACGCCCUAAACGAUGCGAACUGGAUGUUGGGUGCAAUUUGGCACGCAGUAUCGAAGCUAACGCGUUAAGUUCGCCGCCUGGGGAGUACGGUCGCAAGACUGAAACUCAAAGGAAUUGACGGA